RNAcentral lists this ribosomal RNA (398 nucleotides) under uncultured beta proteobacterium. RNAcentral describes it as "bacterial SSU rRNA". It matches the Rfam family "Bacterial small subunit ribosomal RNA", at positions 413 to 803 of the family's 1533-position model. The record is from RNAcentral. Lineage: Bacteria; Pseudomonadati; Pseudomonadota; Betaproteobacteria.
GGCCUUCGGGUUGUAAACUGCUUUUGUACGGAACGAAAGGCUCUGCCCUAAUACGGCGGAGAUAUGACGGUACCGUAAGAAUAAGCACCGGCUAACUACGUGCCAGCAGCCGCGGUAAUACGUAGGGUGCAAGCGUUAAUCGGAAUUACUGGGCGUAAAGCGUGCGCAGGCGGUUAUAUAAGUCAGAUGUGAAAUCCCCGGGCUCAACCUGGGAACUGCAUUUGAGACUGUAUAGCUGGAGUACGGCAGAGGGGGAUGGAAUUCCGCGUGUAGCAGUGAAAUGCGUAGAUAUGCGGAGGAACACCGAUGGCGAAGGCAAUCCCCUGGGCCUGUACUGACGCUCAUGCACGAAAGCGUGGGGAGCAAACAGGAUUAGAUACCCUGGUAGUCCACGCCCU